Molecule: non-coding RNA, 85 nt
Organism: Felis catus (domestic cat)
Lineage: Eukaryota; Metazoa; Chordata; Mammalia; Carnivora; Felidae
Source: Rfam
ACCUGGGUGGCUCAGUAGGUUAAGCAUCUGACUUCAGCUCAGGUCAUGAUCUCACAGCUUGUGGGUUCAAACCCCAUGUCGGGGU